This 74-nucleotide long non-coding RNA is filed under the name Monodelphis domestica (gray short-tailed opossum). Its description in RNAcentral is "lncRNA (ENSMODG00000048201.1)". Lineage: Eukaryota; Metazoa; Chordata; Mammalia; Didelphimorphia; Didelphidae. The record is from RNAcentral.
AGAUUAAAGCAAAAACCAGCUUCUUCAUGACCUUUGGAUAAGCCAUGCUGUUGGUUCUUUGAAGAUUGGCAUGG